UUGUAAGUUUUUAAGAGCAUAUGGUGGAUGCCUUGGCAUUAGGAGCCGAUGAAGGACGUUGUAGCCUGCGUUAAGCCUCGGGGAGUUGGCAAACAAGCUGUGAUCCGAGGGUGUCCGAAUGGGGAAACCCACCUGGAGUCAUGUCCAGGUACUCCCUGCUGAAUGUAUAGGCAGGGUAGAGGGAACGUCGGGAAGUGAAACAUCUUAGUACCGGCAGGAAGAGAUAUUCCGUGAGUAUUGGCGAGAGAAAGCGGAACAGGCCAAACCAUGAGCGUGUGAUACUCGGCAGAGGUUGCGUUUGUGGGGUUGUGGGACCAUGCGGUUGAUACUGCCGUGUCAACACACAGUGAAAAGUGCGCGUGUAGGUGAAGCCCUUGGGAAGGGGUGGCGUAGAGGGUGAUACCCCCGUAACCGAAACAUGUGUGCCUGUGGUGUGGGAUCCCAAGUAGCACGGGGCCCGAGAAAUCUCGUGUGAAUCUGGCAAGACCACUUGCUAAGCCUAAAUACUACCUAAUGACCGAUAGCGGAUUAGUACCGUGAGGGAAUGGUGAAAAGUAGCCCGGGAGGGCAGUGAAAUAGUACCUGAAACCAUAUGCUUACAAUCCGUCGGAGCCUCCUUGGUUGGGGUGACGGCGUGCCUUUUGAAGAAUGAGCCUGCGAGUUAGUGCUCAGUGGCGAGGUUAACCCGUGUGGGGUAGCCGUAGCGAAAGCGAGUCUGAAUAGGGCGAAUGAGUCGCUGGGUCUAGACCCGAAGCGAAGUGAUCUACCCAUGGGCAGGUUGAAGCGCGGGUAAGACCGCGUGGAGGACCGAACCCACCUAGGUUGAAAACUGGGGGGAUGACCUGUGGGUAGGGGUGAAAGGCCAAUCAAACUUCGUGAUAGCUGGUUCUCCCCGAAAUGCAUUUAGGUGCAGCCUUACAUGUUUCUUACCGGAGGUAGAGCUACUGGAUAGCCGAUGGGCCUUACCAGGUUACUGACGUUAGCCAAACUCCGAAUGCCGGUAAGUGAGAGUGUAGGAGUGAGACUGCGGGGGAUAAGCUCCGUAGUCGAGAGGGAAACAGCCCAGACCACCAGCUAAGGCCCCUAAGCGUGUGCUAAGUGGGAAAGGAUGUGGAGUUGCAUAGACAACCAGGAGGUUGGCUUAGAAGCAGCCACCCUUGAAAGAGUGCGUAAUAGCUCACUGGUCAAGUGAUUCUGCGCCGACAAUGUAGCGGGGCUCAAGUACACCGCCGAAGCUGUGGCAUUCACACAAGAAACAAGCCUUUGUGGUUCAGUUGUGUGGAUGGGUAGGGGAGCGUCGUGUGGGCGAUGAAGCUGCAGAGGAAUCUAGUGGUGGAGACUACACGAGUGAGAAUGCAGGCAUGAGUAGCGAAAGACGGGUGAGAAACCCGUCCGCCGGAUGAUCAAGGGUUCCAGGGUCAAGUUAAUCUGCCCUGGGUUAGUCGGGACCUAAGGCGAGGCCGACAGGCGUAGUCGAUGGAUAACCAGUUGAUAUUCUGGUACCGGUGUAACACCGCCCAACACAAAACAUUGUAAUCUCCCUCUUUAUAUGCGCGUGCUUGCUUGUCCCUUCGGGGUUAGUGAGUGUUGUGUGUGUGACGCGGGAGUGCGUGGUGUGGCGUGAGCGUAUUAACAGGGGUGACGCAGGAAGGUAGCCAAACCGUCGCGAUGGUUGUCGACGGCCAAGGAUGUAGCCCAGGUUCUAGGUAAAUCCGGGAUCUGUUAUAGGGGUGAGAUCUGAUGGGGUUAAGUUGGUGAUCCUCUGCUGCCUAGAAAAACCUCGACGUGAGGUGUGAGCCGCCCGUACCCUAAACCGACUCAGGUGAUCAGGUAGAGAAUACUAAGGCGAUCGAGAUAAUUAUGGUUAAGGAACUCGGCAAAAUGCCCCCGUAACUUCGGGAGAAGGGGGGCCCUGAGCGUGAACACCUGUGCGGUGGUAAGCGUGUAAGGGUCGCAGAGACCAGGGAGAAGCGACUGUUUACUAAAAACACAGGUCCGUGCGAAGACGCAAGUCGAUGUAUACGGACUGACGCCUGCCCGGUGCUGGAAGGUUAAGAGGACUGGUCAACCACCUUGUGUGGUGAAGCUGAGAAUUUAAGCCCCAGUAAACGGCGGUGGUAACUAUAACCAUCCUAAGGUAGCGAAAUUCCUUGUCGGGUAAGUUCCGACCUGCACGAAUGGCGUAACGACUUCUCCGCUGUCUCAACCAUAAACUCGGCGAAAUUGCAGUACGAGUAAAGAUGCUCGUUACGCGCAGCAGGACGGAAAGACCCCGGGACCUUUACUAUAGCUUGGUAUUGGUGUUCGGUAGUGUAUGUGUAGGAUAGGUGGGAGACUGUGAAGCAGGCACGCUAGUGUGUGUGGAGUCAUCGUUGAAAUACCACUCUUAUGCUUUCGGAUACCUCAACCUCGGACCCUGAUCGGGUUCAGGGACAGUGCCUGGUGGGUAGUUUAACUGGGGCGGUUGCCUCCUAAAAUGUAACGGAGGCGCUCAAAGGUUCCCUCAGCCUGGUUGGCAAUCAGGUGUUGAGUGUAAGUGCACAAGGGAGCUUGACUGUGAGACUGACAGGUCGAACAGGGACGAAAGUCGGAACUAGUGAUCCGGCCAUGGCUUGUGGAAGCGUGGUCGCUCAACGGAUAAAAGGUACCCCGGGGAUAACAGGCUGAUCUUGCCCAAGAGUCCAUAUCGACGGCAUGGUUUGGCACCUCGAUGUCGGCUCGUCGCAUCCUGGGGCUGGAGUAGGUCCCAAGGGUUGGGCUGUUCGCCCAUUAAAGCGGUACGCGAGCUGGGUUUAGAACGUCGUGAGACAGUUCGGUCCCUAUCCGCUGCGCGCGUAGGAAACUUGAAUAGACCUGUCCCUAGUACGAGAGGACCGGGACGGACGAACCUCUGGUGUGCCAGUUGUACCGCCAGGUGCAUGGCUGGUUGGCUACGUUCGGAAGGGAUAACCGCUGAAAGCAUCUAAGCGGGAAGCCUGCUAUGAGAUAAGGUUUCCAACCCCUACUUGUGGGGGUGUAGGCACCCAAGAGAUUAUUGGGUUGAUAGGCCAGAGGUGGACGCACAGACUAACGAUGUGUGGAGCUGACUGGUACUAAUAUGCCGACAAUUUACAAUCAACAAUGU
Molecule: ribosomal RNA, 3124 nt
Filed under: Salmonella enterica subsp. enterica serovar Typhimurium str. SL1344
Lineage: Bacteria; Pseudomonadati; Pseudomonadota; Gammaproteobacteria; Enterobacterales; Enterobacteriaceae
Description: 23S ribosomal RNA
Rfam family: Bacterial large subunit ribosomal RNA
Source: RNAcentral